AACGAACGCUGGCGGCGCGCCUAAUACAUGCAAGUCGAGCGAGAAGGUGUAGCAAUACACUUGUAAAGCGGCGAACGGGUGAGGAAUACAUGGGUAAUCUACCAUCGAGUGGGGAAUAACCAACCGAAAGGUUGGCUAAUACCGCGUACGCCUCCGGAUCUUCGGGUUCGGAGGGAAAGCUGCACUGUGAGUGUAGCGCUCUUUGAUGAGCUCAUGUCCUAUCAGCUUGUUGGUAGGGUAACGGCCUACCAAGGCUUUGACGGGUAGCUGGUCUGAGAGGACGAUCAGCCACACUGGCACUGCGACACGGGCCAGACUCCUACGGGAGGCAGCAGUAAGGAAUAUUGCGCAAUGGGCGAAAGCCUGACGCAGCGACGCCGCGUGGGGGAUGAAGGUCUUCGGAUUGUAAACCCCUUUCGGGAGGGAAGAUGGAACGAGCAAUCGUUCGGACGGUACCUCCAGAAGCAGCCACGGCCAACUUCGUGCCAGCAGC
Molecule: ribosomal RNA, 493 nt
Filed under: uncultured bacterium
Lineage: Bacteria
Description: bacterial SSU rRNA
Rfam family: Bacterial small subunit ribosomal RNA
Source: RNAcentral